This 468-nucleotide ribosomal RNA is filed under the name uncultured bacterium. RNAcentral describes it as "partial 16S ribosomal RNA". It matches the Rfam family "Bacterial small subunit ribosomal RNA", at positions 28 to 507 of the family's 1533-position model. The record is from RNAcentral.
GACGAACGCUGGCGGCGUGCUUAACACAUGCAAGUCGAACGGAAAGACCCUGCUUUUGUGGGGUGCUCGAGUGGCGAACGGGUGAGUAACACGUGAGUAACCUGCCCUUGACUUUGGGAUAACUUCAGGAAACUGGGGCUAAUACCGGAUAGGAGCUCCUGCUGCAUGGUGGGGGUUGGAAAGUUUCGGCGGUUGGGGAUGGACUCGCGGCUUAUCAGCUUGUUGGUGGGGUAGUGGCUUACCAAGGCUUUGACGGGUAGCCGGCCUGAGCGGGUGACCGGCCACAUUGGGACUGAGAUACGGCCCAGACUCCUACGGGAGGCAGCAGUGGGGAAUAUUGCACAAUGGGCGGAAGCCUGAUGCAGCAACGCCGCGUGCGGGAUGACGGCCUUCGGGUUGUAAACCGCUUUCGCCUGUGACGAAGCGUGAGUGACGGUAAUGGGUAAAGAAGCACCGGCUAACUACGUG